This 428-nucleotide ribosomal RNA is filed under the name uncultured bacterium. Its description in RNAcentral is "partial 16S ribosomal RNA". It matches the Rfam family "Bacterial small subunit ribosomal RNA", at positions 354 to 796 of the family's 1533-position model. The record is from RNAcentral.
GUGGGGAAUAUUGGGCAAUGGGGGAAACCCUGACCCAGCAACGCCGCGUGAGGGAAGAAGGUUUUCGGAUUGUAAACCUCUGUCCUUGGUGACGAAGGAAGUGACGGUAACCAAGGAGGAAGCCCCGGCUAACUACGUGCCAGCAGCCGCGGUAAUACGUAGGGGGCAAGCGUUGUCCGGAAUGACUGGGCGUAAAGGGCGUGUAGGCGGCCGAUUAAGUCUGGAGUGAAAGUCCUGCUUUGAAGGGGGGAAUUGCUUUGGAGACUGAUGGGCUUGAGUGCGAAAGAGGUAAGUGGAAGUCCCAGUGUAGCGGUGAAAUGCGUAGAGAUUGGGAGGAACACCAGUGGCGAAGGCGACUUACUGGGCCGUAACUGGCGCUGAGGCGCGAAAGCGUGGGGAGCGAACAGGAUUAGAUACCCCUGUAGUCC